RNAcentral lists this ribosomal RNA (253 nucleotides) under uncultured bacterium. RNAcentral's name for it is "partial 16S ribosomal RNA". It matches the Rfam family "Bacterial small subunit ribosomal RNA", at positions 524 to 776 of the family's 1533-position model. The record is from RNAcentral.
UACGUAGGGACCGAGCGUUGUCCGGAAUCAUUGGGCGUAAAGCGCGUGUAGGCGGCCCGAUAAGUCCGCUGUGAAAGUCCAGGGCUCAACCCUCGAAUGCCGGUGGAUACUGUCGGGCUAGAGUGCGGAAGAGGCGAGUGGAAUUCCUGGUGUAGCGGUGAAAUGCGCAGAUAUCAGGAGGAACACCAAUUGCGAAGGCAGCUCGCUGGGACGUAACUGACGCUGAGACGCGAAAGCGUGGGGAGCAAACAGG